RNAcentral lists this ribosomal RNA (631 nucleotides) under Globigerinoides elongatus. RNAcentral's name for it is "partial small subunit ribosomal RNA". The stretch from base 1 to 365 matches the Rfam family "Eukaryotic small subunit ribosomal RNA", at positions 1295 to 1501 of the family's 1831-position model. The record is from RNAcentral. Lineage: Eukaryota; Foraminifera; Rotaliida; Globigerinidae.
UAGUUCGUGGAGUGAUCUGUCUGCUUAAUUGCGUUUCAAAAUUUAAACCUGAGCGACAAGGUGCUGCUAUCGAAACUGUCUUUGAGUGUGAACUAUAAGUCUUUUGACUUAUGACCAUCACUCUAGACGUUUAUGUUUUGGUGUUGGCCCUUGAUGCUCAUUUGAACGCAACGGACGUGAUUGCAACCCCUUGUUGAGAUUUAUCCGAUCUCUACGUUCACUGAACCACACUCUUUAGCGAGAGCAGUGGGGAUGUGGAUAAACUCGGGGGACUGCUGACUAUAAACUUUUCUCAAACCAGAGGAAGGUUGCGGCAAUAACAGGUCUGUGAUGCCCUCAGAUGUUCCGGGCUGCACACGUGCUACAUUUAGUAGCGCAGUGUGCACAUUAAUAGAGUGAUAGGUUCCGUGGUUUGUACAUUUUAAGGGCUCGUCCUAGUAACCAAAGCUCCACGGGACAUAUCAACCUUCCCCUUACAGGGCGGGUAACCUCUUCGAAGUGCUGGCAUGAUUUCCCUAGUUUUGGCAUUUGAAUCCUUGUCGCAGCAGCCCUGAGACGUAGUGAACGCUGCAAAGUGAUUCCAGUCUUAGGUUUGCGACACAUGCAAUUCCUGGUUGACUCAUCGUGGGGA